CCAUCGGUGGUUCAGUGGUAGAAUGCUCGCCUGCCACGCGGGUGGCCCGGGUUCGGUUCCCGGCCGAUGUA
RNAcentral lists this transfer RNA (71 nucleotides) under Cordylochernes scorpioides. RNAcentral describes it as "tRNA-Gly". It matches the Rfam family "tRNA". From Rfam's summary of the family: Transfer RNA (tRNA) molecules are approximately 80 nucleotides in length. Their secondary structure includes four short double-helical elements and three loops (D, anti-codon, and T loops). Lineage: Eukaryota; Metazoa; Arthropoda; Arachnida; Pseudoscorpiones; Chernetidae. The record is from RNAcentral.